This 243-nucleotide long non-coding RNA is filed under the name Nicotiana benthamiana. Its description in RNAcentral is "long non-coding RNA (NBEN_LNC001131)". Lineage: Eukaryota; Viridiplantae; Streptophyta; Magnoliopsida; Solanales; Solanaceae. The record is from RNAcentral.
UUUACUUGUUCUGGAAAAUAUGAAGUUCAUGAAAAGCUACUUAAAAUCUGUAAAAUAUUAUGAAUAAUAUUAAAAAUAUUCCUUGCCCUGUUUAGAGCAAUAUAUUUUGAUCCCUGCCAUUUCUUCUUCCACUCAAAUCUCUCUGAUUAAUUUGUGAAGCUCUCAUAAUGGCAUUGAACAAAGUACUUUGUGAAGAACAUUUAUUUCCUAUGCAGGUGGCUAAGAGUGUAAAGAUUGUGAUGG